This 301-nucleotide ribosomal RNA is filed under the name uncultured bacterium. RNAcentral's name for it is "partial 16S ribosomal RNA". It matches the Rfam family "Bacterial small subunit ribosomal RNA", at positions 509 to 807 of the family's 1533-position model. The record is from RNAcentral.
CAGCAGCCGCGGGAAUACGAAGGGGGCUAGCGUUGUUCGGAAUUACUGGGCGUAAAGCGCACGUAGGCGGAUAUUUAAGUCAGGGGUGAAAUCCCGCAGCACAACUGCGGAACUGCCUUUGAUACUGGGUAUCUUGAGUAUGGAAGAGGUUAGUGGAAUUGCGAGUGUAGAGGUGAAAUUCGUAGAUAUUCGCAGGAACACCAGUGGCGAAGGCGGCUAACUGGUCCAUAACUGACGCUGAGGUGCGAAAGCGUGGGGAGCAAACAGGAUUAGAUACCCCCGUAGUCCCUGUCUCUUAUAC